RNAcentral lists this ribosomal RNA (427 nucleotides) under uncultured bacterium. RNAcentral's name for it is "partial 16S ribosomal RNA". It matches the Rfam family "Bacterial small subunit ribosomal RNA", at positions 354 to 796 of the family's 1533-position model. The record is from RNAcentral.
GUGGGGAAUAUUGCACAAUGGGCGCAAGCCUGAUGCAGCAACGCCGCGUGAGUGAUGAAGGCCUUCGGGUUGUAAAACUCUGUCCUAUGGGAAGAAACAAAUGACGGUACCAUGGGAGGAAGCCCCGGCUAACUACGUGCCAGCAGCCGCGGUAAUACGUAGGGGGCAAGCGUUAUCCGGAAUCACUGGGCGUAAAGGGUGCGUAGGUGGCUUAUCAAGCCAGAGGUGAAAGGCAGUGGCUCAACCAUUGUAAGCCUUUGGAACUGAUUAGCUUGAGUGCAGGAGAGGUAAGUGGAAUUCCUAGUGUAGAGGUGAAAUUCGUAGAUAUUAGGAGGAACACCAGUGGCGAAGGCGACUUACUGGACUGUAACUGACACUGAGGCACGAAAGCGUGGGUAGCGAACAGGAUUAGAAACCCUUGUAGUCC